RNAcentral lists this transfer RNA (21 nucleotides) under Galium prattii. RNAcentral describes it as "partial tRNA-Cys". The record is from RNAcentral. Lineage: Eukaryota; Viridiplantae; Streptophyta; Magnoliopsida; Gentianales; Rubiaceae.
UGGCGGCAUGACCGAAUGUAA